CAAUGGAAUACACUUUUAAUAUUUUAUAAACCAUAUAGUUCUCAUCAAAGACAUAUCUUAGCAGGAGUCCAGGUAAUUUUGUUCACUGGAAUUUCUCUCUGCACGGUUACCGUAUCAUGUGAAGGGAUAAAAUUGGGUAACCAUCCAUACUUCUACUAAUUUAGCGCGCUAUGGAGGACUCGACCAAUCAACGACGCGCGCGCAUUCAACGGUACCAACACCCUGAGGUGCAGGAGAACAGGACUAGUAGCUACAGUAAAAAUAUAAAAUAAAGCAGACUUUUCAGCGCCUCAUCUUCACGUUGAUGGUCAACAUUUCGAAACGAAGAUUCAAGAGCUAGUAAAGAACAAGGCAUUGGGAUGGACUGGUUCCACUGUAACAGCUGCUUCCGAAGAGAGGGGCAGAACUUUGCUGUCUCCAGCUGUGGUCACAUCUGCUGUGAAGGCUGCAUCAAUCCUAAUAAAAGUAUGACUGUUGUCAUUUCCCUGUCCCCCGCCCACACCCAUCCUAUGGUCCCAGAUCUUUUCUUAUUUCAUACUGUUGUGUUGUCUCGAAAUGUAGCCUUUUUCCCCCCCUCAGAACAUUGCACUGUGUGUGGAGCCAGCUGCAAUUACCUGGCCAUCUCAGACCAGAUGAAGCCUCAGGAGCAGGUGUUCUUCAAAGACCCUGUGAAGCUCAUUCAUUCUCGUCUGGAGCACAUAGCACAGAUUGCUCUAUUCCAGCGAAGGCAGAAGGAAAGGGUCAUUGUCUACUUCAAAAACAAAUCUAUGGAGCUGGAGAGGAGACUGAAGGAUGUCACAGAUCAGUGUUACAGGCAAGUUUUAGAGCUGAAAAGAGAGAAUGCCGAGUUGAAGAAACCUCUCUCUCAGAGGAGGGCAUCACCUGGACAAUUUCAAACAAAUGGCAGUGCCCAAAGGAUGUCUCUUCCAGUGGCUGUUACCUCCCCAGUCACCCCUCGCUCACGUCCUGUUAGCCACCAAAGCUUUGCUGAAACCCAGGAGAGAUUCAGAGAUAGAAACCCUAGGCUCACCCUUGCAACUCCGCCUGGUUCUGCCACAUCAAUCUCCAGCCUGAGCUCUCUGCACGAGCGUGGUGGCUUCAGGACUCCCACCAUUAUUAGCACUCCCACCCGGUAAGAAUUGAUGAAUAUCAGUUGAUUUCCAUUUCCAUGGUGCAUCGUUGAAAGUAGCGGUCUGAGAAUCUGACUCCGAACAUUUUCCAGUUCUUGACUGGGCCAUCGCUGCACUCCCCAAGGCCUUUCAGAAAUGGCCAGUAAACCGAAUCUGAUGAACAGCUGACCCCGAUCUCAAAAAGCACAGGGAAGCAGUUAACACACACAAAAUUGUUUUUGUUUUUUUACUUGAUUCCAGUGAUGCAGUUGUGCAAAUGUUAAAUUGAACAAUACAACAUUAAAAAGACAUGCUCCGGUACUUUGGCCCAAAAAAUUUUUUUACCUCCCGCUUUGUCAAAGUGUAGUUCAUAUAUGCAUAAUCUAUGAGCAGAAUUAAUGUUAGCCACAAAAUCCCUAGUUUGAAAAUACUUUUCUUGAAACUGUGCAGCACCAUUUCCCCUACAUUUCACCCCACAUGGACCAGCCUCUUAACAAUUUGAGUUCUAGCCCUUGCAUUGAGUGGAAGCUAGCAAGAGGCCUGCCCAGCAUUAUCCAAUGAGGUUGCAGGACGGGCCCAACGACUCAGUGGAAACAGUAGAGAGCAAUGACGUAGUACCCAAUUUUCAGGGACCACUUUUGGCUUGGGAGUGCUACUUUCACAACUACUAAAUAUAAAAGAUACAAAAGUACUGAAGAAUCUCUGACUUUUGAAAUGAGUGCCAUGUGUCCAGUUAAGUAGAAAAUUGAAAAACUGUUUACAACUACAAUUAAAGGGAUCGGUAACUGAGAAUAGUGUUAAGACAAACAUUUCUCCUUCAACCCUCUACAGCAUUCUUGUACAUCCUUUGUAAUGUUAUCAUAGCUAAUAGGAAAAAAAACAUUUACACUGUAGAAAAUGUUGCUUAAUGUUGAUUAAAAUACUUUUACUGGUAUACCUGGAUGAAUGUAACAUGUCAUUUUCCUCUCAGAGGCAUAGAAAAUGGCCUGCACAAAACACUACUUAUUGCUUUGGAUUAAAGUGGACUAAAACAAUC
Salmo salar (Atlantic salmon) is the source of this 2145-nucleotide non-coding RNA. The record is from RefSeq and is a predicted model, not a curated record. Lineage: Eukaryota; Metazoa; Chordata; Actinopteri; Salmoniformes; Salmonidae.